ACCCCUACCCGUCUCCACCCCACCGCAAACCCCUACUCCUUCCCCUUCCAGAUCGCCGCCGCCGCCGCCUCCCCAUCAGCUCCAGCGGCGAGCCCUUCCUCACCGCAUCGCCACCCCCGCGCCCAUCCAUGGCAUCCCCCGCGCCCUUCCAUCAGCAUCCAUGGCCUCCCCCACGCCCUUCCUCACCGCAUCGCCACCCCAACCCUCUCCCUUCCUCUCCCCGACGCUCCCCUCUUUCCGGACCUUCAUCCUCUCCGGCCAGACCAACCGGCCGCGGCCCCUACCCUAGGCAGGGAGGGCGGAUCGCCGCUGCGCGGGCGCACAGGAAGGGGCGGCGACGGAAGCGCAUCCCCAAGAUCUAGCCCGUCAAGCACCGUGUCGAAGUCUCUCCUUCGAGGAGCUCUAUGUGCGGGUGUGCGGAGGCGCUCGUGAGGGCGGUGGUGGCCUUCUUCGACACCUUCCUCGUCGACUGCUUCCUCUUCUGGUUCCGCCGCCGCCCCGGCCCCGACAGCCCCGCCUCCGCCCACCGGGAUCCGCUCGUGCCCAAGGACUGGACAGGGGAGGCGCUCCCGGCCUCGGACGAAGAGAAAGGUUUUGUAGAGAGCACAUUGUCGAACCAGCAGUUGGCAGAUGGCGAUGACACAGAUGAGUAGCUUAGGCGAGAGGUCAUUGUUGUGAAGGCCGUCACGGGAAGGCGUGGGGGAUUUGGCACAAGGCCGAUGAUCGAGUCUAUGCUCUCUCCUCUAUGGAAAGACCUAUUUUCUCUGAUGAUUGUUUUGAAGUGGCAGACCAUGUGAACAACCUGGGCACCAUCGCGGGCUCGAGCACCAAGGAGUUCAUGGAGGUGCUGCAGGGCUGGGGCCGUGGCUGCGCCAACAGUUCUAUCCGGUGAUACUCGAUUAGGGCCCCAUGUGUUUGAACAACUAGUCAAGUAACAUGGGUCCCCACUGGUGGUGCAGCGUCAAGUUUGGAAGCAGCUGGAGUGAAUGCCAGAAAAGUUGAACAGCUUACACAUUUUCCUGAAAUGGUCUGGCAGCACCGCCGCGUCAACGACGAAGGUGGUGACCGCGGCGGCGAGCGGCGCGAGUUUGUGGCUGCGGGACUGGAUGACACGGCUCAUAUAUGUGCUUCUGACUAAUCCAGCUUCUUUUGGUCCAGCUGGGCAUUACUUUGAGUUCAUAUAUGUGCUUGUCACUCCAUAGGUUAUAGUGAUUCCCGCUGUUUCCUUAUAUGUUCUUGUUAUUUGGUUGCUUUCCUAUUCAUGCAUGUUUGUACAGCUAUAUAUAGUUUUGCUGUGAAUCUGUCGUGCAUGUAUUGAAAUGCAGGAAAUAUUGAAUACAUGUUCACUCUCAGUUGGGAUAUUGAAUUGUACAUAGUUAUGUGAUUCAUGUCUGCUUCUUAUCUUAUUAAGUGAUUAUCUUUAUGUUCUUGCUUCUUAUCUUAUUAAGUGAUCUAUAAUUGUUUUUCCUAUGUUGGAACGUGUCUAGUUAAUGACCUGUGGUUACUUAUGUUUAUUGUGUAUCACAUUGAAAAAGAAAAUGCACAAUGACUUAUCUUUGUAUGUCAGGAUUUUUUCUUCAUCUGUUACUCUUCCUUUUGCUAGUGACUUCAUUGUCUUGUGAGAUUUUGCUUCUUUAUUACAGGGUUAAAUAGUCCACUAUUUUGUCUGGUCUCUGUGUCUCAAUGACAGCAAUCUGAACUGAUGUAUUGUGUGCCUUAAAAAGCAUGGCUGCAACCAUUCCUAAUUUUUGUUUGGUUUGGAUUUGGAUGCAGCAGGUGCUCUGCUCUUGCGCACGGUGUGUGUCACCGGUGUAACGGUGCUCUGCUCUUGCGCACGGUGACCGGCGUGACGGCGGCUAUGUAUGGCAGCAACCACAAGCUCAUCGGGAAGUUGAAGAUUUCGCUAGGAGGCUCAAUUCUGUUUGGCCUGAAAGAAUGCAUUUGGGUCAAGAAAGAAGAAUUGAGUCGCAACUGAUUGGUGGUAAUGGUUCUCUGCAGAGAUUUUCUGGGUUCAAUCACAGGUGAAUGCCGUGCAAUAGUGAGUAAAGAAUUUGCAUUGCCCCAUUAAUUGAGUUUCUUUUAUCUAUUCAACACACUCCAACUUGUUGGUUUAAUCAAAUCCUCUAGUAAUGCCACAGCUUGUCAUGGAUGUCGCAUUUCCUCUGUUUUUGGGGAAUUUCGAGAUGUACCAUUCUCUGUUUUGGGAAUUUCUUUGCCGUAAAUUAUUAUAGCCAACUGUUCAGAAUUGUUUUUGCGGGGAGCAAAUCUGUAUAUGCAAAGUGUGUGUGUGUAUCCAGUGAGCAAAUCUGUAGUAAUUAUAGAGUAUAUUAUCUUCUUUCUUUUAUUGGCAAUUUUUUGCUCAGUUCUCUUUUGACAUAUAGUUUGUUCUUUUUGAAU
Triticum dicoccoides is the source of this 2397-nucleotide long non-coding RNA. RefSeq lists it as uncharacterized. The record is from RefSeq and is a predicted model, not a curated record. The transcript is spliced from 8 exons. Lineage: Eukaryota; Viridiplantae; Streptophyta; Magnoliopsida; Poales; Poaceae.